GAAAUAUGGUAUCAAGAGUAAGCUUCUAACUUAACUCUCAAGCGAUGAAAUUUCGUUUAUAUUUCU
This 66-nucleotide transfer RNA is filed under the name Semanotus bifasciatus. RNAcentral describes it as "tRNA-Ser". The record is from RNAcentral. Lineage: Eukaryota; Metazoa; Arthropoda; Insecta; Coleoptera; Cerambycidae.